CAGCUCAUGUACUAAAGAGCUUUUUCUGCCCGUUUUCUUUGUGUUCGUAGCUACAGCGACGACAUUCACGUUGCCGUUGCCGUUUUGUUUUGGUUUUCUGCUUGGGGUACAGUUGCUGCUCGGGCUUUUUGAAAUGUUGUUGGCCUCCUCUGACUACAACAACAGCAACAACAACAAGAACAGCAACAGCAGCAGCAAACAAAAUAAAAACAAAAACAAAAACAGACGAUAAUAAAACGUGUAUACCUGUGCAAUACUUAUAGUAUUGUUGCCGAGGUGACUUUGCGAUGCUCUCACAAAAACAAAGCGGUAAACGAUAAGAAAGAUGCGAACAUUCUACAAUGAAUAUCAAGAAAUGUGCCAAACCUAAUAAUACUAAUAAAUUUAGUGUUAAAUUAUCACUUCCCACUUAAUUAAAAUUUCGAUUGUGGUUUCAGUUUAUCGCUUAGCGUUCAAGCCGAGGUACAGGGUAUUCAAAUACACUCACACUCGUUUACAAAUGUCACUAUGUACGCCGCUUUGUAUGUUUCACGCAAAGACAGCAGCUCCAAAGCUCAAAUCAAACGGAAACGAACAAGACAACAAGAACAGCUGCAGUAGCAGCAGCCAGAGAGCAAGAGUGUGAGAGAGAGAAGCACGCAUUGCUCCAAAGCAAAACGUGUUGGUCGUGUGCAGACGUUGACGUCGCGGUCGCUGUGCACGUGAAAAGUUUUGUUUGUGGGGCGUCGACGUUGCCGGGCCCCUUAUGUCAGUUUUGCGUGAUGCUGACGAGAGCAUUAAAAAGCUUUUGCUCUUCUCUCUAUUGCUUGCUCUCUGCUCUAUUAAACCGGUUCUCGUCGGUUAUGUGGUCAAUGUUUUCCUUGUUGUUUGUUUACGUGUAUGAGUCGUGAAGUUGAUAAGGCAACAACAGCUAAUAAGCGUUUAUGGGAAUUGAGCUUUUUUGUGCGCAAAUCGCUUUCGAUUCAAAGCUUUCCGGUCAAGGUCUAUCUUCUAUCUAUGCGUACAACGAUCAUAAUCAUACAAAAUUAUACUUAUGUUUCUUCACAUGUUGCCAGGCGCAUUUUGUGGUGCCAUUUUAUGUGUGUAUUCGAAUAUUUAUUCGCAUUCCAACGACAAUGACAGCUGUUGUUUGUUUACAUCAACACUGAAAGCUUUUCGAUAAGGCCCCGUAAUGGAGCAAAACAAGUAGAAAUUGUAGCAUUCGAUAAGCGACGUAAAUAAAUAAAUAAUGUAAACAAAUCGUAAAGGGAUCGUGCAAUCAAUUGUUUGUUGUAUAACACCUUAUUUGUAGUGCGAUAAAUAGUAAGACGUUGUGUUAUUAAAAGCCUAAACGUUUGAUCAAUUCACACUUGACAAGGGACUACUAGUUAAUACCAGACUAUAAGCGUUUAGAUCUUU
Long non-coding RNA from Drosophila sulfurigaster albostrigata, 1398 nucleotides. RefSeq lists it as uncharacterized. The transcript is spliced from 2 exons. Lineage: Eukaryota; Metazoa; Arthropoda; Insecta; Diptera; Drosophilidae. The record is from RefSeq and is a predicted model, not a curated record.